CCUACGGGAGGCAGCAGUGGGGAAUUUUGGACAAUGGGCGCAAGCCUGAUCCAGCAAUGCCGCGUGAGUGAAGAAGGCCUUCGGGUUGUAAAGCUCUUUUGUCAGGGAAGAAACGGUGGGGGCUAAUAUCUCCUGCUAAUGACGGUACCUGAAGAAUAAGCACCGGCUAACUACGUGCCAGCAGCCGCGGUAAUACGUAGGGUGCAAGCGUUAAUCGGAAUUACUGGGCGUAAAGCGUGCGCAGGCGGUUUUGUAAGUUUGUCGUGAAAUCCCCGGGCUCAACCUGGGAAUGGCGAUGAAGACUGCAAGGCUAGAAUCUGGCAGAGGGGGGUAGAAUUCCACGUGUAGCAGUGAAAUGCGUAGAGAUGUGGAGGAACACCGAUGUCGAAGGCAGCCCCCUGGGUCAAGAUUGACGCUCAUGCACGAAAGCGUGGGGAGCAAACAGGAUUAGAUACCCUGGUAGUCCACGCCCUAAACGAUGUCUACUAGUUGUCGGGUUUUAAUUAACUUGGUAACGCAGCUAACGCGUGAAGUAGACCGCCUGGGGAGUACGGUCGCAAGAUUAAAACCUCAAAUGAAUUGACGG
This 586-nucleotide ribosomal RNA is filed under the name uncultured bacterium. RNAcentral's name for it is "bacterial SSU rRNA". It matches the Rfam family "Bacterial small subunit ribosomal RNA", at positions 338 to 916 of the family's 1533-position model. The record is from RNAcentral.